RNAcentral lists this ribosomal RNA (192 nucleotides) under uncultured bacterium. Its description in RNAcentral is "partial 16S ribosomal RNA". It matches the Rfam family "Bacterial small subunit ribosomal RNA", at positions 335 to 524 of the family's 1533-position model. The record is from RNAcentral.
ACUCCUACGGGAGGCAGCAGUGGGGAAUAUUGCGCAAUGGGCGAAAGCCUGACGCAGCCACGCCGCGUGAGCGAUGAAGGUCUUCGGAUCGUAAAGCUCUGUGGGGGAGAAGAAGAAAGUCGGUGAAGAGCCGGCCCUGACGGUAUCCCCUUAGCAAGCACCGGCUAACUCCGUGCCAGCAGCCGCGGUAAU